AUCAGAAGUGCGAAUGCUGACAUAAGUAACGAUAAAGCGGGUGAAAAGCCCGCUCGCCGGAAGACCAAGGGUUCCUGUCCAACGUUAAUCGGGGCAGGGUGAGUCGACCCCUAAGGCGAGGCCGAAAGGCGUAGUCGAUGGGAAACAGGUUAAUAUUCCUGUACUUGGUGUUACUGCGAAGGGGGGACGGAGAAGGCUAUGUUAGCCGGGCGACGGUUGUCCCGGUUUAAGCAUGUAGGCGGAGGUUCCAGGUAAAUCCGGUACCUUUUAACGCUGAGGUGUGAUGACGAGGCACUACGGUGCUGAAGUAACAAAUGCCCUGCUUCCAGGAAAAGCCUCUAAGCAUCAGGUAACAUCAAAUCGUACCCCAAACCGACACAGGUGGUCAGGUAGAGAAUACCAAGGCGCUUGAGAGAACUCGGGUGAAGGAACUAGGCAAAAUGGUGCCGUAACUUCGGGAGAAGGCACGCUGGUGUGUAGGUGAAGUCCCUGCGGAUGGAGCUGAGACCAGUCGAAGAUACCAGCUGGCUGCAACUGUUUAUUAAAAACACAGCACUGUGCAAACACGAAAGUGGACGUAUACGGUGUGACGCCUGCCCGGUGCCGGAAGGUUAAUUGAUGGGGUUAUCCGUAAGGAGAAGCUCUUGAUCGAAGCCCCGGUAAACGGCGGCCGUAACUAUAACGGUCCUAAGGUAGCGAAAUUCCUUGUCGGGUAAGUUCCGACCUGCACGAAUGGCGUAAUGAUGGCCAGGCUGUCUCCACCCGAGACUCAGUGAAAUUGAACUCGCUGUGAAGAUGCAGUGUACCCGCGGCAAGACGGAAAGACCCCGUGAACCUUUACUAUAGCUUGACACUGAACAUUGAGCCUUGAUGUGUAGGAUAGGUGGGAGGCUUUGAAGCGUGGACGCCAGUCUGCGUGGAGCCAACCUUGAAAUACCACCCUUUAAUGUUUGAUGUUCUAACGUAGGCCCCUGACCGGGGUUGCGGACAGUGUCUGGUGGGUAGUUUGACUGGGGCGGUCUCCUCCCAAAGAGUAACGGAGGAGCACGAAGGUUAGCUAAUCCUGGUCGGACAUCAGGAGGUUAGUGCAAUGGCAUAAGCUAGCUUGACUGCGAGCGUGACGGCGCGAGCAGGUGCGAAAGCAGGUCAUAGUGAUCCGGUGGUUCUGAAUGGAAGGGCCAUCGCUCAACGGAUAAAAGGUACUCCGGGGAUAACAGGCUGAUACCGCCCAAGAGUUCAUAUCGACGGCGGUGUUUGGCACCUCGAUGUCGGCUCAUCACAUCCUGGGGCUGAAGUAGGUCCCAAGGGUAUGGCUGUUCGCCAUUUAAAGUGGUACGCGAGCUGGGUUUAGAACGUCGUGAGACAGUUCGGUCCCUAUCUGCCGUGGGCGCUGGAGAAUUGAGGGGGGCUGCUCCUAGUACGAGAGGACCGGAGUGGACGCAUCACUGGUGUUCGGGUUGUCAUGCCAAUGGCACUGCCCGGUAGCUAAAUGCGGAAGAGAUAAGUGCUGAAAGCAUCUAAGCACGAAACUUGCCCCGAGAUGAGUUCUCCCUGAGACU
Molecule: ribosomal RNA, 1559 nt
Filed under: Klebsiella variicola
Lineage: Bacteria; Pseudomonadati; Pseudomonadota; Gammaproteobacteria; Enterobacterales; Enterobacteriaceae
Description: partial 23S ribosomal RNA
Rfam family: Bacterial large subunit ribosomal RNA
Source: RNAcentral